GGGAGGCAGCAGUGGGGAAUUUUGGACAAUGGGGGAAACCCUGAUCCAGCCAUCCCGCGUGUGCGAUGAAGGCCUUCGGGUUGUAAAGCACUUUUGGCAGGAAAGAAACGUCAUGGGUUAAUACCCCGUGAAACUGACGGUACCUGCAGAAUAAGCACCGGCUAACUACGUGCCAGCAGCCGCGGUAAUACGUAGGGUGCAAGCGUUAAUCGGAAUUACUGGGCGUAAAGCGUGCGCAGGCGGUUCGGAAAGAAAGAUGCGAAAUCCCAGAGCUUAACUUUGGAACUGCAUUUUUAACUACCGGGCUAGAGUGUGUCAGAGGGAGGUGGAAUUCCGCGUGUAGCAGUGAAAUGCGUAGAUAUGCGGAGGAACACCGAUGGCGAAGGCAGCCUCCUGGGAUAACACUGACGCUCAUGCACGAAAGCGUGGGGAGCAAACAGGAUUAGAUACCCUGGUAGUCCACGCCCUAAACGAUGUCAACUAGCUGUUGGGGCCUUCGGGCCUUGGUAGCGCAGCUAACGCGUGAAGUUGACCGCCUGGGGAGUACGGUCGCAAGAUUAAAACUCAAAUGAAUUGACGG
This 580-nucleotide ribosomal RNA is filed under the name uncultured beta proteobacterium. RNAcentral describes it as "bacterial SSU rRNA". It matches the Rfam family "Bacterial small subunit ribosomal RNA", at positions 343 to 916 of the family's 1533-position model. The record is from RNAcentral. Lineage: Bacteria; Pseudomonadati; Pseudomonadota; Betaproteobacteria.